AUGGGAAACUUCAAGAUAGCGUAUGUUGUUAUUGUGCAGAUUCAUGUGUAUAAGUUUACAAUAGCCUUGCGCCUUGCCUACAUUAUCUUCAGAACAAUGGUGUUGUUUCGCCAAGAUGUUGUUAGGGUGUUAAAGGCUAAAACCAUUGUUGAAUUCCGUGCAACUUAUGAUUGCUUGAAGUCGGCUAUUGCUGCUAUCAAAGGAAUCAAUGGGGACUAUGCUACUGCACUCGCUUAA
Molecule: non-coding RNA, 237 nt
Organism: Vicia faba (fava bean)
Lineage: Eukaryota; Viridiplantae; Streptophyta; Magnoliopsida; Fabales; Fabaceae
Source: the annotation of a GenBank genome assembly